AAGUGGUUUGCAACAAAGACUGAACUAUAAUAGCUCUAUUGACUAACUCACCAUUCAUCAGACCAAGUCAGGCUUCCACAAAUUAUUUGCAAUAGGGUGAUCUAUGUAGACAACCACAAGAUGACUGUAGAAAUACAUCCUUAGUCAGUUAGCUAUUGUGAAUAACGCUAGCGCCUCCUUCUUAAUCUGCUAAUAACGUGUCUUCGGAUCCUACAAAAUUCUGGUAAUAAAAUAUAUUAAUUCUGUUUCGGGGACCCCUUCGAUCAAGGUUGUGCUUAUUGCUUCAUCCAAUUUGAUGGGUGGACUAGCCAGGAUUGUCUUUAUUUCUACAAACACGACUUCAUAUUGCUCGUCUCACUUGAUGAGAAAGCUUUUCUUCAUAAUCUUCAAGGUGGGUUUUAUUUUCUCUGCCAACUUAUGGAUGAACUGACACAAAGAAGUUAGGUGGCCCACUAACAUUUGCACUUCCUUUAAGUUUUAUGGGCUCCUCAUGUUUAGGAUGAUUGUUCACUUGUAUGGAUUCGCCUCAAUGCUCAGUGUAGUGAGAAUGAAAUCCAAAAUUUUUCCCACUCAAACACUGAAA
Molecule: long non-coding RNA, 583 nt
Filed under: Vigna radiata
Lineage: Eukaryota; Viridiplantae; Streptophyta; Magnoliopsida; Fabales; Fabaceae
Description: long non-coding RNA (VRAD_LNC004404)
Source: RNAcentral